Molecule: transfer RNA, 71 nt
Filed under: Mecistops cataphractus (African slender-snouted crocodile)
Lineage: Eukaryota; Metazoa; Chordata; Crocodylia; Crocodylidae
Description: tRNA-Gly
Source: RNAcentral
GCUCUUCUAGUAUUAAUAAUACGAAUGACUUCCAAUCAUUAGACCCUGACACCUAACCCCAGGGAAGAGCA